UAAAAAACAUACAAAAAAGAAGAAAAUGAAGAAAAAGCCAGCAUUCAAGAGUGGAACGUGCAAAAACGUCUGCUUCGGAGGGCACCAUGAGUUUCUGCUUUGUUGGCAAGGAUGUUGACGUAGCUUCAGCCUCAGUCCCCAAGCAGCCUGAUGAAGGAACCAGUGUUGCUUCCAUUCCUGGCCUAGUGUGGGCUGGUGAGGACCAAUGCUGCCCCUACACCAGUUUCUGAGCAGAUUGUAGGCCUCCAGAGGGGCUCCUUCUGAGAUGCCAGCCUCUUUCCUGCAUCCCAAAGGGGCCCCGCUUCAGACCCCAGCCCUCUGUUUGCUCUUCAGUAUGGUCCUUGCAUCAACAUGGGUCCCUACGCUGUCCCCCUGAACAACCUCAGUAGAUUGUCUGCUGCCAAAGCCAACCACUGGAAUGACCUCAGCUACCUGCCCAGUUCAGAGGCCGACCACUCUGUCUACUUCCGGGACAUUCCUCCUGAGUGGCCUCAGUUACCUGUCCAGUUCAGAGGAUGACUACCCAAACAACCCCAAUUUACAGUCCGCAUCCGCAGGGGUCACCCACCGGAUUUACCUCAGUUAUCUUGCUGGCUUCAUGAAUACUCUGCUGUAUGGUCUGGUCCAUUCUUUAGCUAUGUUCACAAUUUUCUUACUUUGCUUUUUGAAGGAUAGUGGUGAAUCAACUAUAAUGCCCAACUAUUUGAAAUCUUG
This is a long non-coding RNA of Monopterus albus (swamp eel), 714 nucleotides long. RefSeq lists it as uncharacterized. NCBI's taxonomy places the organism in Eukaryota, Metazoa, Chordata, Actinopteri, Synbranchiformes, Synbranchidae. The transcript has 3 exons. The record is from RefSeq and is a predicted model, not a curated record.